UAGGGAAUCUUCCACAAUGGACGCAAGUCUGAUGGAGCAACGCCGCGUGAGUGAAGAAGGUUUUCGGACCGUAAAGCUCUGUUGUUGGUGAAGAAGGAUAGAGGUAGUAACUGGCCUUUAUUUGACGGUAAUCAACCAGAAAGUCACGGCUAACUACGUGCCAGCAGCCGCGGUAAUACGUAGGUGGCAAGCGUUGUCCGGAUUUAUUGGGCGUAAAGCGAGCGCAGGCGGAAGAAUAAGUCUGAUGUGAAAGCCCUCGGCUUAACCGAGGAAUUGCAUCGGAAACUGUUUUCUUGAGUGCAGAAGAGGAGAGUAGAACUCCAUGUGUAGCGGUGGAAUGCGUAGAUAUAUGGAAGAAUACCAGUGGCGAAGGCGGCUCUCUGGUCUGCAACUGACGCUGAGGCUCGAAAGCAUGGGUAGCGAACAGGAUUAGAUACCCUGGUAGUCCAUGCCGUAAACGAUGAGUGCUAAGUGUUGGGAGGCUUCCGCCUCUCAGUGCUGCAGCUAAUGCAUUAAGCACUCCGCCUGGGGGAGUACGACCGCAAGGUUGAA
Molecule: ribosomal RNA, 552 nt
Filed under: uncultured bacterium
Lineage: Bacteria
Description: partial 16S ribosomal RNA
Rfam family: Bacterial small subunit ribosomal RNA
Source: RNAcentral